This 250-nucleotide ribosomal RNA is filed under the name uncultured bacterium. Its description in RNAcentral is "partial 16S ribosomal RNA". It matches the Rfam family "Archaeal small subunit ribosomal RNA", at positions 474 to 724 of the family's 1478-position model. The record is from RNAcentral.
UACCAGCACCCCGAGUGGUCGGGACGAUUAUUGGGCCUAAAGCAUCCGUAGCCGGUUCUACAAGUCUUCCGUUAAAUCCAUCUGCUUAACAGAUGGGCUGCGGAGGAUACUAUGGAGCUAGGAGGCGGGAGAGGCAAGCGGUACUUAGUGGGUAGGGGUAAAAUCCGUUGAUCCACUGAAGACCACCAGUGGCGAAGGCGGCUUGCCAGAACGCGCUCGACGGUGAGGGAUGAAAGCUGGGGGAGCAAAC